CAGACAAACAAAAUCAUUUGCAUUUAUAUAGGGCAACCAAUCGUCUAAAAAUUAAUUUCAUAUAAGAUAGAGAAUGACAACAUUCUGUAUACUGUAUCCAUAAUAUCAGUACUAAGGACUUAAUCAUUUUGAGUCAUUUUGACCCAGAAACACAUUGAGAUUUAUACACUUAAUUUUUUUAUGUUUUUGCUUCCUAAUGAUGUGAUUAUGUUUCUACUCCAAACAGCUUCUAAGAUAUAAUCAUUUAAAUGCUGGCUGAGUGUAGAGCGGAGGAGGGCGGGGCCGGGCUGGAAUGACGCACGCCCGGUCCCCAAUCAGCCUGAUGGGGCGUGCGAGGGAUAAAGGUGGCCGGGGACGACAGUUUGAGAGAGAGAAUUACAGGCAGCUGCCCUGUGUGUGGUUAUGUUUGUGUGUUUUUGGUUAAGUUGAUCAUUAAACUAUUAUUUAUAUUCUCAAGCCGGUUCUCACUGCCUCCUUUCCCUCUAACCCCCUUACACUGAGAUUUUCCUUUAUUCUUUAGUACAUGCAGGACGCACACACUGACUGGGGCUUCCUAACGUUAACUAUUCUGAUUAAUAAAAUAUGUUUAAUGUUGUUGAAUUUAAGCAGUUAACUUAUGUUUAAUACACACAAACAAAGAUGCCAUUGAUCAGUAAAUAAUGAUGGAGAAAAACCUUCUUAACAGCUUCUUUCUUAAUAGCUUUUUUCUUAAUAAAUCAGGUUUUAUACAGGGAUGCAAACUCAUGAGAGGUGAAAAAGGUGAGGAAGUCAUAGCAGAUAUUACAGUUGAUUUGUUUGUUCAUUUUAAAGAUUUUUUUUAAGUGUUUAAAGUACCUACACUUAAAGGUUCUUUACUGACCUUAAUAUUUCUAUUUAGAACCAUAUCUUCCUGAAGAACUCUUUUGUGCUCAAAUGGUUCUUUGCGUAGGGCAUUAGGGGUUCUAUAUUCCCGCCUUUUUGGUUUUUUGAAUGUAACUGUCAAUAAAUUAUUUCAAAGCCACCUCGUCAUUGAUUCACUUGCAGCACUGAAGUCCUGGCAGCUCAACUGACCAAUUUCACAGACUGUCAACACUCUCCACAGAGAGCUUUUUUUAAAAAUAUUUAUCCAUUAGUAGUUUUAGCAGGAAAGUUAUCAGUGAUAACCAAUCCCAUUAGCACAGUUAAAUGGGAGUGAGCAUUUGCUUAUUUUUCUUUCGCUUCACUCUAUGUUUUUGAAAGUGAAACCGUAGUGAAUUAAAGUUUACAGUUUAUGGUAAAUGAGCUGUUUGGGAGCAAGAGGUUGGCCAAAUCUGAAGUCAUGAUUUUUAACACUUUUGUAACCGCUAUGGCAGUAACUGUUCAUGUUGGGGAGAUCACAUUUUCUCAGCUCAUUCACAUCAUAAGACAAAUAUACAGUAAACUGUGUGGCGAAACUUUCCCCAAGCUGUUACUAUUUUAUGCAUUAACAUGACUAAUUGAGCAAAUUUAUUUUUCUUGUUGCAACAUUAACCUCUACACAUUCAAUAAUUAUAAAUUAUUUUACUCAAAGCUUCUUAACCUUUAGAUUUAGAAAUGUAGCCACAAUGCCCAAAUAAAACCUGCAUCCAGUUAUUUUUUGCAAAUAUAUUUAAUAAUCCUAAUGAGAAUUCAAGAAGAUAGAACCUAGAGCUCAUGACAUUUGUUUUUCUCUCCCUGCAGGACAUGAGACUGAUGGACCAACUUUAUUGCUUAUAACCUCUAAAUAAUAAAUCACAGAACGAAUGAAACGAUGCCUGUUAUCAGACAACAGACGGUUUUGUCACUGCUUGAUAAAGGCAGCACAGAACAUGGAUCGCUACCAGAACAUACAACUGUGACUAACUCAAGAGACAGAUGCUGUUGGAGCCCAUAACUUCUUUACCUACAGAGAGGGGUUGCCACUCAAUUACACAGUGAUGGACGGUGAAGACAUCAUACAGAGGAUUGUGCAGAUAUUUUAGUGAAAUUUAGCCUUCAUUGCAUCUAUUUUGUGUUUCGAUGGGACUUUGCUCUUCCUUGAACAUUUGGUUGUCUCUAUAAAAUAUAAAAGAAUGUACACGUUUCU
Myxocyprinus asiaticus (Chinese sucker) is the source of this 2062-nucleotide long non-coding RNA. RefSeq lists it as uncharacterized. The record is from RefSeq and is a predicted model, not a curated record. NCBI's taxonomy places the organism in Eukaryota, Metazoa, Chordata, Actinopteri, Cypriniformes, Catostomidae. The transcript is spliced from 3 exons.